UAGGGAAUCUUCCACAAUGGACGCAAGUCUGAUGGAGCAACGCCGCGUGAGUGAAGAAGGUUUUCGGACCGUAAAGCUCUGUUGUUGGUGAAGAAGGAUAGAGGUAGUAACUGGCCUUUAUUUGACGGUAAUCAACCAGAAAGUCACGGCUAACUACGUGCCAACAGCCGCGGUAAUACGUAGGUGGCAAGCGUUGUCCGGAUUUAUUGGGCGUAAAGCGAGCGCAGGCGGAAGAAUAAGUCUGAUGUGAAAGCCCUCGGCUUAACCGAGGAAUUGCAUCGGAAACUGUUUUCUUGAGUGCAGAAGAGGAGAGUAGAACUCCAUGUGUAGCGGUGGAAUGCGUAGAUAUAUGGAAGAAUACCAGUGGCGAAGGCGGCUCUCUGGUCUGCAACUGACGCUGAGGCUCGAAAGCAUGGGUAGCGAACAGGAUUAGAUACCCUGGUAGUCCAUGCCGUAAACGAUGAGUGCUAAGUGUUGGGAGGCUUCCGCCUCUCAGUGCUGCAGCUAACGCAUUAAGCACUCCGCCUGGGGGAGUACGACCGCAAGGUUGAAAC
Molecule: ribosomal RNA, 554 nt
Filed under: uncultured bacterium
Lineage: Bacteria
Description: partial 16S ribosomal RNA
Rfam family: Bacterial small subunit ribosomal RNA
Source: RNAcentral